CCUGAGAGGAGGGAAGCAUGGGAAGGGUGGGUGUCAUGGUGGCCCUCAGCGCCAGGGGAGUGACAAGAACACCAGGACUCGUGAUGUUCCUAGGAGAUCGCCUGCUCCGAGCGUAGGUCGCACUUUAUCCUGGGGAGGUGGACACAUCCCUUGUAACGAACGGCCUUCAGCUGCCUAUCGCUAGAAUUAGGUGAAGAAAGUAGCAUGUAAUUUAUUCAACUUAUAUAUCAAAUCAGUAUUGGAGCUGGCACUUGAGCCUGAGUCUAAGAGGUAAAUUCAUGCCCCUUGUCACAGACAAACAAUAAAUACUUC
RNAcentral lists this long non-coding RNA (312 nucleotides) under Heterocephalus glaber (naked mole-rat). Its description in RNAcentral is "lncRNA (ENSHGLG00100052551.1)". Lineage: Eukaryota; Metazoa; Chordata; Mammalia; Rodentia; Bathyergidae. The record is from RNAcentral.